Molecule: ribosomal RNA, 119 nt
Filed under: Pteropus alecto (black flying fox)
Lineage: Eukaryota; Metazoa; Chordata; Mammalia; Chiroptera; Pteropodidae
Source: RNAcentral
GUCUACAGCCAUGCCACCCUGAACAUGCCCGAUCUUGUCUGAUCUUGGAAGCUAAGGAGGGUCAGGCCUAGUCAGUACUUGGAUGGGAGACAAUCUAGGAAUACCAGGUGCUGUAGGUG